UGGCUCUUCGAAAUGCUUGAGAGACUGAUUUCUGCCUAGCAGGCUAGGAAAGAGAUGAGGGAGUUACCUAAUCCCCCUCCACCCCUACCAUAAUAUGAACCAUCUCCACAUCGAGAAGAUCCAGUACCCCCACGGUACAGCUAAGUUCCUCCAUAGUACCAUCCGACACCUUUAUGGUAUAAUUUAGUGCCUCCACCAUACAAUCCGGUGCUGCC
This 215-nucleotide long non-coding RNA is filed under the name Carica papaya (papaya). RNAcentral describes it as "long non-coding RNA (CPAP_LNC012433)". Lineage: Eukaryota; Viridiplantae; Streptophyta; Magnoliopsida; Brassicales; Caricaceae. The record is from RNAcentral.